RNAcentral lists this ribosomal RNA (253 nucleotides) under uncultured bacterium. RNAcentral describes it as "partial 16S ribosomal RNA". It matches the Rfam family "Bacterial small subunit ribosomal RNA", at positions 524 to 776 of the family's 1533-position model. The record is from RNAcentral.
UACGGGGGGUGUAAGCGUUGUUCGGAAUUACUGGGCGUAAAGGGCUCGUAGGCGGCCAACUAAGUCAGACGUGAAAUCCCUCAGCUUAACUGGGGAACUGCGUCUGAUACUGGAUGGCUUGGAUCCGGGAGAGGGAUGCGGAAUUCCAGGUGUAGCGGUGAAAUGCGCAGAUAUCAGGAGGAACACCGGUGGCGAAGGCGGGUCUCUGGGCCGAUACUGACGCUGAGGAGCGAAAGCGUGGGGAGCAAACAGG